UACAGAGGGUGCGAGCGUUGUCCGGAAUCACUGGGCGUAAAGGGCGCGUAGGCGGCUUGGUAAGCGUGCGGUGAAAGCUCGGGGCUCAACCCCGAGUCUGCCGUGCGAACUGCCGGGCUGGAGCACGGUAGAGGCACAUGGAAUUCCGGGUGUAGCGGUGGAAUGCGUAGAGAUCCGGAAGAACACCGGUGGCGAAGGCGGUGUGCUGGGCCGUUGCUGACGCUGAGGCGCGACAGCGUGGGGAGCAAAC
Molecule: ribosomal RNA, 250 nt
Filed under: uncultured bacterium
Lineage: Bacteria
Description: partial 16S ribosomal RNA
Rfam family: Bacterial small subunit ribosomal RNA
Source: RNAcentral